CACCAGAUGUGCUUUUUUUAUUAGCGGCUAGUAUUUUAUUUAAGUGAAAACUUUAUUAAGGAUCUUAGGGUAGAGGGGAUUAGGCACAGUGCCAGCAUCCGCGGUUAUUCUGUUUUCUCUGCUUUUUUAUGGUUUAUCUUAAAGUUAAUUAUAUUUAAAGUUAGGUGAAAUUUUUUUAUUAUUAUUACAAAUAACUUUAUGAGUAACAAGUAGCUAUUUUGUGAAAGGGAUUAGAUACCCCCGUAACUGGCUAUGUAAUAUUACUUAGUUUUAUAACUAAAAUAGUUUGGCAGUGAGUUAUUCCUAUCAGGGGAAGGUGUGUUAUAAAGGACGAUCCGCCCAUUAAUUUACCUUAACUAUGUUGGUGUAUAUCUGGUUUAAUAUUAUUGCUUAGUUGCGUGAAUUUGUGUAUAAAUUUUUAAGCUAAGUCUAUGUGCUGCAUGUUAAGGUUUUCAUGCGUUACCCUUAUAAUGAUUGCCGUGUAAUAGGUUGUUAUUUAGGACUUGAUAGUAAUUCUAAAUAAAUUUGUUAGUGUGAAAGUGGUUUAACUCAGGUACACACCGCCCGUCACCCUCGAUUAUUUUGAGGUAAGUCGUAACAAGGUAGCCCCAGAUGAAUCUGGGGCUAAUUGCCAU
Molecule: non-coding RNA, 635 nt
Filed under: Schistocephalus solidus
Lineage: Eukaryota; Metazoa; Platyhelminthes; Cestoda; Diphyllobothriidea; Diphyllobothriidae
Source: Rfam by way of RNAcentral